UGGAGGCAGCAGUGGGGAAUUUUGGACAAUGGGCGCAAGCCUGAUCCAGCCAUUCCGCGUGCAGGAUGAAGGCCCUCGGGUUGUAAACUGCUUUUGUACGGAACGAAAAGCCUUCUUCUAAUACAGGAGGGUCAUGACGGUACCGUAAGAAUAAGCACCGGCUAACUACGUGCCAGCAGCCGCGGUAAUACGUAGGGUGCAAGCGUUAAUCGGAAUUACUGGGCGUAAAGCGUGCGCAGGCGGUGAUGUAAGACAGAUGUGAAAUCCCCGGGCUCAACCUGGGAACUGCAUUUGUGACUGCAUCGCUGGAGUGCGGCAGAGGGGGAUGGAAUUCCGCGUGUAGCAGUGAAAUGCGUAGAUAUGCGGAGGAACACCGAUGGCGAAGGCAAUCCCCUGGGCCUGCACUGACGCUCAUGCACGAAAGCGUGGGGAGCAAACAGGAUUAGAUACCCCGGUAGUCCC
This 462-nucleotide ribosomal RNA is filed under the name uncultured bacterium. Its description in RNAcentral is "bacterial SSU rRNA". It matches the Rfam family "Bacterial small subunit ribosomal RNA", at positions 343 to 797 of the family's 1533-position model. The record is from RNAcentral.